UACAGAGGACUCAAGCGUUGUUCGGAUUCAUUGGGCGUAAAGGGUGCGUAGGCGGCGCGGUAAGUCGGGUGUGAAAUCUCGGAGCUUAACUCCGAAACUGCAUUCGAUACUGCCGUGCUUGAGGACUGGAGAGGAGACUGGAAUUUACGGUGUAGCGGUGAAAUGCGUAGAUAUCGUAAGGAAGACCAGUGGCGAAGGCGGGUCUCUGGACAGUUCCUGACGCUGAGGCACGAAGGUCAGGGGAGCAAACGGG
RNAcentral lists this ribosomal RNA (253 nucleotides) under uncultured bacterium. RNAcentral describes it as "partial 16S ribosomal RNA". It matches the Rfam family "Bacterial small subunit ribosomal RNA", at positions 524 to 776 of the family's 1533-position model. The record is from RNAcentral.